GUCGCCCGGCCGGUAGCUAAGGAGGCCCAGCUGUGAUCCCGAGGCUUUGUAGGCGCCGCAGCCCUGGCCCUCUAGAGGCCGACGGAGGAGUGCGGGGGAAGUUAGCUUGCGCCUGUCUCGUCAGCCGUGCACGAGAAAAAAAAGGACCUUCGAGAAGAACAAGGGAGGGCAAGAGUUACCGAGUACAGGGACAUCUAUGUGGCCGCUCUGCUUUCCCGCCGUCACCUGCUGUUGAACUCCGGCCGCAUCGCGGUGUCCGGAGCCGCCUGGCCUGGAGUAUGCGCUGAGCGUCACCUAGGCAACCACCCCUGCACCUGUGGAUCAGGGUCUCGCUCUGUUGCCAAGGGUAGAAUGCAGUGUCGGGAUCAUAGCUCACUACAGACUUGACAUCCUGGACUCAAGAGAUCCUCCUGUGUCAGCCUCCCGAGUAGCUGGGACCACUGGCGCGCGACAAAUAAUUUGAAAGUGGGAGGAGGGGAACAGAACCACAUCAAAUGGCAGAUAUCAUAGAAUGAGAACUGAAUAUACGCGUUUUGUGGGAAACGCGUUCUUUUCCCCUUUCUCUAAGAUUCGCUUUUAAUUCACUAGCCACUAACCAGUUACCUAUCUCAUUACAGAUAUAAAAAACAAAA
RNAcentral lists this long non-coding RNA (632 nucleotides) under Homo sapiens (human). RNAcentral's name for it is "non-protein coding lnc-C2CD4A-1:4". Lineage: Eukaryota; Metazoa; Chordata; Mammalia; Primates; Hominidae. The record is from RNAcentral.